UAAAACUUUCAACAACGGAUCUCUUGGUUCUGGCAUCGAUGAAGAACGCAGCGAAAUGCGAUAAGUAAUGUGAAUUGCAGAAUUCAGUGAAUCAUCGAAUUUUUGAACGCAUAUUGCGCCCUUUGGCAUUCCGAAGGGCAUACCUGUUCGAGCGUCAUUACACCCCUCAA
This 170-nucleotide ribosomal RNA is filed under the name ascomycete sp. ALr-1. RNAcentral's name for it is "5.8S ribosomal RNA". It matches the Rfam family "5.8S ribosomal RNA". From Rfam's summary of the family: 5.8S ribosomal RNA (5.8S rRNA) is a component of the large subunit of the eukaryotic ribosome. It is transcribed by RNA polymerase I as part of the 45S precursor that also contains 18S and 28S rRNA. The record is from RNAcentral. RNAcentral also lists the same sequence under 1 other name. Lineage: Eukaryota; Fungi; Ascomycota.